Molecule: long non-coding RNA, 724 nt
Organism: Prionailurus viverrinus (fishing cat)
Lineage: Eukaryota; Metazoa; Chordata; Mammalia; Carnivora; Felidae
Exons: 3
Source: RefSeq, a predicted model, not a curated record
UCAAGGGCUUUCUUCCAAAUUGGACCUUUAGAUGCCAACAGAGCUGACUCCGUCCCUGAAAACAUGCUCGAGAUGUUGCUGUGAACAUAGUUUUCAGAUGUGAUGAACACUUUCAACCAGUUGACUUUCAGUAAAGCAGUCGUCCCCUUACUCUGAGCUCAUCCCAUCAGCGGAAGGCCUGAAGAGUCAAAACUGAGCUUUCCAGAAGAAGGAAUUUUGCCACAGCACCGAGAUCCUGCCUGAACUUCGGACCUGCCAGCCUGACCUACCGACUGUAGGCUUGCCAGUCCCGUGAUCACGGGUCUCGAAUUUUCAAAGCGCGAAGAGCGAUGGUGUCGACCUGGAUGAAGCAAAUGGUCUUCAAACCUACAUCAGUUUCAGCACUCAAAACCUUGAAUGUGUGCAUGGGGACCAUGGUCCGUUACAGGAGACUGCUUGCAGCUGAGUCAACGGGGGAUCCAAAGUGUUAUGGAAAGAAAUCCACCAGGAACCUGAGAAUCUUCCUUGUGACUAUUUCAAAACCGCAGGCAAAGUUUCAGAACACUGCAGGAUCAAGUGUGGCUUUGGGUCGCAAGAUAACACGAGCAUUCAAUUUCAAUAGUUCCCUUUUACUUCUUUUUGCCACGAGACAAAAUUUUAUUGUUAUAAACGCUCCUCUAAAGCAUCAGUAUUAGUAGGCUGAGAUUCGCUUUAUGAUGAAUAAAAGUGAAAGAGGGAGUAUUUA